CUUAAUGAACAAGAAAACUAAGCGUACUUUUACCCCUGAGUUCAGGCUGGAAUGUGCACAGCUGAUUGUUGAUAAGGGCUACUCAUAUCGACAAGCCAGCGAAGCGAUGAAUGUCGGUUCUAC
This is a small RNA of Salmonella enterica subsp. arizonae, 123 nucleotides long. It matches the Rfam family "isrC Hfq binding RNA". The record is from Rfam. NCBI's taxonomy places the organism in Bacteria, Pseudomonadati, Pseudomonadota, Gammaproteobacteria, Enterobacterales, Enterobacteriaceae.